This 620-nucleotide ribosomal RNA is filed under the name Dinocampus coccinellae. RNAcentral describes it as "eukaryotic LSU rRNA". It matches the Rfam family "Eukaryotic large subunit ribosomal RNA", at positions 386 to 794 of the family's 3401-position model. The record is from RNAcentral. Lineage: Eukaryota; Metazoa; Arthropoda; Insecta; Hymenoptera; Braconidae.
CCUGAGAAACCCAAAAGAUCGAAUGAGGAGAUUCAUCGUCAGCACAUUUAGUAUAUGUAUGAGUUGCGAUAUAAAUUAUCUUUGGAUUAUGUUUAUACGCUCUUGUUCAUUUUAUUGCUGAAUGUUGUCGGCGUGCACUUCUCCUCUAGUAGGACGUCGCGACCCGUUGAGUGUCAUUUUAUGGCCUAGAUGGUAGACUUUCAUUUUUAUAUGUAAGACCUCUGGUGACCUAAUUGGCUGCUCGACGGUAAUCGCACGGUAUUGAGUCGCAAUAAUUUGCGUCAGGCCCGUCACAAGCGCGGCUAGUAUCCUAGUAGUGCGGAUAUAAUGCCGUUACUGGGGCUGGCCAGCUGUUGGUAGUACGGUGUUCUUUGACUGGCUCAAAUAUUAAUUACCGGUCGGCGACGCUACUGCUUUGGGUACUUUCAGGACCCGUCUUGAAACACGGACCAAGGAGUCUAACAUGUGCGCGAGUCAUUGGGAUUUUUUAUAUAUAUUAAACCUAAAGGCGCAAUGAAAGUAAAGGUCGUCCUUGUGUCGACUGAGGGAGGAUGAGUUGCGUUACGAUGACAGCUCCGCACUCCCGGGGCGUCUCAUUCUCAUUAUGAGAAGAGGCGCAC